GAAAUGCGAUAACUAGUGUGAAUUGCAGAAUUCCGUGAAUCAUCGAGUCUUUGAACGCACAUUGCGCCCCCUGGUAUUCCGGGGGGCAUGCCUGUCCGAGCGUCAUUGCUGCCCAUCAAGCACGGCUUGCGUGUUGGGUCGUCGUCCCCUCUCCGGGGGGGACGGGCCCCAAAGGCAGCGGCGGCACCGCGUCCGAUCCUCGAGCGUAUGGGGCUUUGUCACCCGCUCUGUAGGCCCGGCCGGCGCUUGCCGAACGCAAAUCAAUCUUUUUCCAGGUUGACCUCGGAUCAGGUAGGGAUACCCGCUGAACUUAAGC
Molecule: unclassified non-coding RNA, 316 nt
Filed under: plant metagenome
Description: partial contains 5.8S ribosomal RNA, internal transcribed spacer 2, and large subunit ribosomal RNA
Rfam family: 5.8S ribosomal RNA (bases 1-105)
Source: RNAcentral